AACGAACGCUGGCGGCAGGCUUAACACAUGCAAGUCGAACGGAUCCUUCGGGAUUAGUGGCAGACGGGUGAGUAACGCGUGGGAACGUACCCUUUGCUACGGAAUAACUCAGGGAAACUUGAGCUAAUACCGUAUGUGCCCUACGGGGGAAAGAUUUAUCGGCAAAGGAUCGGCCCGCGUUGGAUUAGCUAGUUGGUGGGGUAAUGGCCUACCAAGGCGACGAUCCAUAGCUGGUCUGAGAGUAUGAUCAGCCACACUGGGACUGAGACACGGCCCAGACUCCUACGGGAGGCAGCAGUGGGGAAUAUUGGACAAUGGGCGCAAGCCUGAUCCAGCCACGCCGCGUGAGUGAUGAAGGUCUUAGGAUUGUAAAGCUCUUUCACCGGUGAAGAUAAUGACGGUAGCCGGAGAAGAAGCCCCGGCUAACUUCGUG
RNAcentral lists this ribosomal RNA (433 nucleotides) under uncultured bacterium. RNAcentral's name for it is "partial 16S ribosomal RNA". It matches the Rfam family "Bacterial small subunit ribosomal RNA", at positions 29 to 507 of the family's 1533-position model. The record is from RNAcentral.